Marmota monax (woodchuck) is the source of this 889-nucleotide long non-coding RNA. RefSeq lists it as uncharacterized. NCBI's taxonomy places the organism in Eukaryota, Metazoa, Chordata, Mammalia, Rodentia, Sciuridae. The record is from RefSeq and is a predicted model, not a curated record. The transcript is spliced from 3 exons.
ACUGAACCCUGAAACAAGGCAAAACUUUGGUCUGGGGUCCUCAGAACAAGCUGGGACAUUGUAGAGCAACUCCCAGCUCCAAAGCUGCUCAGCUGAGAGAUUAGGGACAUCUCUUAGCCUCCUUGGGCUGCUGUUUCCUAGAAACCAGGCUCUGAUAUUUGGAAUGAUCAUCCAGUCCUCUUCUGAUGUCUAAAUUAGCUUUGCUUUGUGUCUGCGUGGUGACCCAGGCUCCCACACACAACUAUGGUCAGGAAACUCACUACAUUUUGGUGCAGCAAUUUUUGGAUAUAAUAUUCUUCCAGUAAAUGAAUUCCAUAUACCUCAAAUUCUUGGCUCUCAUUAUACCUCCAUCCAUUUUAUCCAUUCCUUCUUCAAACAUUUACCCACAUACCUGGUAAGUGCAGUCUAAGGUCUCUCUUGACCAGUGUCCUGAAUGGAGAGCUCAGCAUGUUAUCCCUGUUACAGUGCUGCCCCCUGCUGGACACUGAUUUCUGGCACUUGUUACCUGGUAUCUGCUGACUCAGGAGGCAUCCUGGAGUGGCUCCUCUAGUCCUGGUCCUGCCUCCAUGCCCAGGGACCCUGUGAUCCUCAGAUGUGAAGAUGGGGUAUUCUCAGUGAUCCUGACUGUUGGGAGUCGCCCCAGCUCCAAAGACUAACAUCCCCAUCCCCCAGAAGAGCCUUUCAAUGGUGAGCCCUGCUGGCUCACAAGAUCCUUACCCACCAAUCAGACUAUCCCUGCUGACUCACAUGAUCCUUAUCCACCAAUCAGAAAGCAUCCCAUGCCAACCGUCAAACCAUUAAACAGUUAAACUGUCAUAACUGUCAUAACCCCCGGCUCUAUAAAUAAGCAGUGCUGUUCCUCAUUAAUCAGCAUAUUCUCCGAUGAUGA